This is a long non-coding RNA of Limulus polyphemus (Atlantic horseshoe crab), 1346 nucleotides long. RefSeq lists it as uncharacterized. The record is from RefSeq and is a predicted model, not a curated record. NCBI's taxonomy places the organism in Eukaryota, Metazoa, Arthropoda, Merostomata, Xiphosura, Limulidae. The transcript has 3 exons.
UUUUAGUUGAACAUGCACUUACUUGUACGUUGUACUCUAGGACUUGUAUUUGAUCUACAGAUGAAUGAUGGAAUAAUGUAAUUUACUUCUGUACCUCAAUUCGGUCUCACUAUAUUUCAGUGAGCGGCUUUUAAAAGUUAAAACUGCAAGCAUAAUACACACAAGUAACGUAACACUGUGUCGUAUUUACUUAACGUAGGGCAGUUGCGCUAUAUCCUAGUGGAGGGCAUAAUUAUUAAUUAAUAGGCAUUAUAGGCCAGAGAGAAUUUUGCGCCCCUUCACACCUGCACCCGGGGUGAAUGCCCCCCUCUUGCUAUGCCACUGAUUAUUUGGAUACUUUUGUGGACUAGGACUUGGUAUGGCCUAAUGGUUAGAGUACUCGACUCACAAUCUGCUGGUUUUGUGAUGGAACCUGACACUAAACAUGCUCCCCUUUCAGCAGUGUGUGUGGUAUUGAUGGAGGAUUAUAAAGUUAUUGUCACUCCCACUGUUGUUUAUUCAUGAGUAGCCAAAGAAUUGGCAGCUGUUGCCUUCCCUCUAGUCUAUUGCUUCAAAAUUAGUGGUAGCUAGUGCAAAUAUCUGUUGACAAGCUUGCACAAAAUUCUGUAAACAAACCUUUGUGGAGCUUUUAAUAUUUUAAAACUUUCAUAACUAGACAACUGCUAGUUAUACAAUACACAAUGGAGAUAGAUGAAGAUAACAAACUCUCGUUCCUUGACAUGAUAGUUACUAAGAUAUAUAACUCGUGUACUACAGGAUUUUAGAGGAAACCUACAGAUAACAUCCCAUCGGUGUAAAGACAGGCACCAUAGACUGCCUAGUCUCAAGAAUGGAAAAAUUUAACACACAUCAUAUGAAAAAAGAAGAAGGAAAAUACAUCACUGCAUCAUUAUUCGACAAUGGAUAUAUUGUACACUUGAUAAAGAAAAAAACUAUAAAUAUCAAGAAUAAGCAGUAGGAAAAUUGCAAACCCAACUAUAUUUUUCUAUGUUACAGGUCUCUGUGAAAACAUACAGUGGAUACAUAAACAGCCUAAAGCCAGAACAAUAUUCAGAAGGUAACAUCCCAGUUCGGCUACUCCCAUUGGCAAUAGACUAAAUUGGAACAAACCAUUUAGAAGCUAUGACACAAUAUUAAAUAACCUGUUUCACGGAGUGUGUUGCCAACUUAACUUUUGAGAUGUGUGGUUGUAUGUAUGAUGAUUAUCCUUAUUUAUAUGAAUUAUCUGGAACAGUUCGUCGCUGUCAACAGUCUAUGGAAGAAGGAGUCUGCAAAACAAAUCCACUUAAGUCGGAGACAGUUGAUGCACGUCAUUAUUGUAAUGGUAUAUGCCGUACUCCAUGCAG